This 329-nucleotide ribosomal RNA is filed under the name Neolyngbya sp. TP5S005. Its description in RNAcentral is "bacterial SSU rRNA". It matches the Rfam family "Bacterial small subunit ribosomal RNA", at positions 228 to 571 of the family's 1533-position model. The record is from RNAcentral. Lineage: Bacteria; Bacillati; Cyanobacteriota; Cyanophyceae; Oscillatoriales; Sirenicapillariaceae.
AGCUCGCGUCUGAUUAGCUAGUUGGUGGGGUAAAAGCCUACCAAGGCGACGAUCAGUAGCUGGUCUGAGAGGAUGAUCAGCCACACUGGGACUGAGACACGGCCCAGACUCCUACGGGAGGCAGCAGUGGGGAAUUUUCCGCAAUGGGCGCAAGCCUGACGGAGCAAGACCGCGUGGGGGAGGAAGGUUCUUGGAUUGUAAACCCCUUUUCUCAGGGAAGAAGAAAGUGACGGUACCUGAGGAAUCAGCCUCGGCUAACUCCGUGCCAGCAGCCGCGGUAAUACGGAGGAGGCAAGCGUUAUCCGGAAUGAUUGGGCGUAAAGCGUCCG